GAUGAAGAACGCAGCGAAAUGCGAUAAGUAGUGUGAAUUGCAGAAUUCAGUGAAUCAUCGAAUCUUUGAACGCACAUUGCGCCCUUUGGUAUUCCAAAGGGCAUGCCUGUUCGAGCGUCAUUUGUACCCUCAAGCUUUGCUUGGUGUUGGGCGUCUUGUCUCUAGCUUUGCUGGAGACUCGCCUUAAAGUAAUUGGCAGCCGGCCUACUGGUUUCGGAGCGCAGCACAAGUCGCACUCUCUAUCAGCCAAGGUCUAGCAUCCAUUAAGCCUUUUUUUCAACUUUUGACCUCGGAUCAGGUAGGGAUACCCGCUGAACUUAAGCAUAUCAAUAAGCGGAGGA
RNAcentral lists this unclassified non-coding RNA (341 nucleotides) under soil metagenome. RNAcentral's name for it is "partial contains 5.8S ribosomal RNA, internal transcribed spacer 2, and large subunit ribosomal RNA". The stretch from base 1 to 120 matches the Rfam family "5.8S ribosomal RNA", at positions 35 to 154 of the family's 154-position model. The record is from RNAcentral.